CUACGGGGGGCUGCAGUGAGGAAUAUUGCGCAAUGGGGGAAACCCUGACGCAGUGACGCCGCGUGAGUGAUGAAGGCUUUCGAGUCGUAAAGCUCUGUUAGGUGGAAAGAAAUGUUCUAGUGCCAAUACCACUAGGAUUUGACGGUACCACCAGAGGAAGCACCGGCUAACUCCGUGCCAGCAGCCGCGGUAAUACGGAGGGUGCAAGCGUUGUUCGGAAUUAUUGGGCGUAAAGAGCGUGUAGGCGGUAAGGCAAGUCAGGUGUGAAAUCCCUUAGCUCAACUAAGGAAGUGCAUUUGAAACUGCCUCACUCGAGUACGGGAGGGGAAAGUGGAAUUCCCAGUGUAGAGGUGAAAUUCAUAGAUAUUGGGAGGAACACUGGUGGCGAAGGCGGCUUUCUGGCCUGAUACUGACGCUGAGACGCGAAAGCGUGGGGAGCAAACAGGAUUAGAUACCCCAGUAGUC
Molecule: ribosomal RNA, 465 nt
Filed under: uncultured bacterium
Lineage: Bacteria
Description: partial 16S ribosomal RNA
Rfam family: Bacterial small subunit ribosomal RNA
Source: RNAcentral